GACAAAAGAGCUCUCGAUUGAUGGCUCAGUGAGGCCUUCGGACUGGCUCGGAGAGGUUGGCAACGACCACUCCGAGCCGGAAAGUUCGUCAAACUCGGUCAUUUAGAGGAAGUAAAAGUCGUAACAAGGUUUCCGUAGGUGAACCUGCGGAAGGAUCAUUA
RNAcentral lists this ribosomal RNA (161 nucleotides) under Neodidymelliopsis sp. RNAcentral describes it as "partial 18S ribosomal RNA". It matches the Rfam family "Eukaryotic small subunit ribosomal RNA", at positions 1675 to 1831 of the family's 1831-position model. Lineage: Eukaryota; Fungi; Ascomycota; Dothideomycetes; Pleosporales; Didymellaceae. The record is from RNAcentral.